UAGGGAAUCUUCCACAAUGGGCGAAAGCCUGAUGGAGCAACGCCGCGUGUGUGAUGAAGGGUUUCGGCUCGUAAAACUCUGUUGUUAGAGAAGAACAUGCAGGAGAGUAACUGUUCUUGUAUUGACGGUAUCUAACCAGAAAGCCACGGCUAACUACGUGCCAG
This 164-nucleotide ribosomal RNA is filed under the name uncultured bacterium. RNAcentral describes it as "partial 16S rRNA". It matches the Rfam family "Bacterial small subunit ribosomal RNA", at positions 355 to 511 of the family's 1533-position model. The record is from RNAcentral.